GGUGAUGCCUGCCCGGUGACUCACGUUCAACGGCCGCGGUAUCCUAACCGUGCAAAGGUAGCGCAAUCAAUUGUCCCAUAAAUCGAGACUAGUAUGAAUGGCUAAACGAGGUCUUAACUGUCUCUUACAGGCAAUCGGUGAAAUUGAUCUCCCUGUACAAAAGCAGGGAUAAACCCAUAAGACGAGAAGACCCUGUGGAACUUUAAAACCAGCAACCACCUUAAAACACAUACUCACCCACUGGGUUCACUGACACAUAAGACUCUGGUCUGCGUUUUUCGGUUGGGGCGACCUUGGAGCAAAACAAAACCUCCAAAAAUUAGACCACAUCUCUAGACUGAGAGCAACCCCUCAACGUGCUAAUAGCAUCCAGACCCAAUAUAAUUGAUCAAUGGACCAAGCUACCCCAGGGAUAACAGCGCAAUCUCCCCCGAGAGUCCGUAUCGACGGGGAGGUUUACGACCU
This 465-nucleotide ribosomal RNA is filed under the name Quiscalus quiscula (common grackle). RNAcentral's name for it is "partial 16S ribosomal RNA". It matches the Rfam family "Bacterial large subunit ribosomal RNA", at positions 1851 to 2526 of the family's 2925-position model. Lineage: Eukaryota; Metazoa; Chordata; Aves; Passeriformes; Icteridae. The record is from RNAcentral.